RNAcentral lists this ribosomal RNA (351 nucleotides) under uncultured bacterium. RNAcentral's name for it is "bacterial SSU rRNA". It matches the Rfam family "Bacterial small subunit ribosomal RNA", at positions 917 to 1267 of the family's 1533-position model. The record is from RNAcentral.
GGGCCCGCACAAGCGGUGGAGUAUGUGGUUUAAUUCGAUGCAACGCGAAGAACCUUACCAGGGUUUGACAUCCUGCGAAUCUCUUGGAAACGAGAGAGUGCCUUCGGGAACGCAGUGACAGGUGCUGCAUGGCUGUCGUCAGCUCGUGUUGUGAAAUGUUGGGUUAAGUCCCGCAACGAGCGCAACCCUUAUCCUUGUUUGCCAGCACGUAAUGGUGGGAACUCCAGGGAGACUGCCGGUGAUAAACCGGAGGAAGGUGGGGACGACGUCAAGUCAUCAUGGCCCUUACGAGUAGGGCUACACACGUGCUACAAUGGCGCAUACAGAGGGCAGCAAGCUAGCGAUAGUGAG